This 1107-nucleotide ribosomal RNA is filed under the name Triticum aestivum (bread wheat). Its description in RNAcentral is "partial small subunit ribosomal RNA". The record is from RNAcentral. Lineage: Eukaryota; Viridiplantae; Streptophyta; Magnoliopsida; Poales; Poaceae.
GCUCCGACCUUUGCACCAUCGUCCGUUGUGCGGCUGCCUGUAAGCACCUUCGUCCGUUGUGCGGCUGCCUGUAAGCACCUUCGUCGUGACAUCCUAAGCCCACCUUUCAUCCAUCAAAUCGGCAAGCUAGCGGCUCCCUGCAUCCUCGCCGAUAUCUGCACCUAUGCCAAGGAACUCCUCUCCCUAGUUCACCCGGCUACAACUGUCGCCGCGUCCUUCUGCCACAACCAACUCUCGCCUUCUACAGGCCGUAAUGCUGAUACAGACUUCCUCCUCCCAGGCAGCCUCGUUACAUCACGACGUGGCCUCGUCGUCCUCCGCUGCCUCCGCAUCCAGUCCGAGCGAUCCUGUCAGCUAUGCGUGUACGACCCCAUGACCGGCCGUCGCAGCUUCCUCUCCAGGCCAAGGGGGAACCAUUACUCGGUCCGGGUAUAUGUCCUGCUCACCGCCGCUGAUGGCAUCGACGACACAUUCAUGCUGCUCGUUGCUGAUCUCGGCACACAUAGCAUUCAAGUACAGACUACAACAUCUUCCUCUCGGGGUACGUGGGAAGAUGUCUUUCAUAUGAGCCACCUUGAUUUUCGAUGGUCGUGGGUAAAUACUCGUAACAACCCUGCUGUCCUUCACGGCGGCGUGAUUCAUUGGCUAUCAUCUGAGAGCAACCAAAUCCUCACCUACAACGCGGUCAAGAGGACGACAGGACUGAUGAAGCUCCCACCCACCAAACGCAACGCAAACCCACUAUAUUUGGCAACAUCAUCGGAUGGGAACCUACUAAAGCUGCUUUCUAUAGAUGGGUUCAUGAUAUCUAUGUGGUUGCAGCUCUCUAUUGACCCGGCAGGUGGUGGUUGGGCUCUGGCAACUGUGAUCGACAUAGAGGAUAAGCUACAGUCGCUGUACCCAGACAUCAGCGCCGAUGUACUAGUUGAGUUUAAGGAAUCUGGGAGUGGGAACAGGAGUGGUGACGUGGUUUUGCUAAUGCUAUCUAUUGGAAUUGGAAGGUGUGUAGUGCUUGAUUUGGAGACGAAGGAGAUGCAUAAGCAAGAUAGGGCCCCCUUAUUGUUGGAGAUCGAUCUACAAUCUCACCUACAAACAAUGAAAGUUUUU